GUAACAAGGUUAGAUGUCCAUGUAAAAAAUGUAACAAAGACGCUUUACCUGAAGAUAACAAAGUGUUUGAUAACUAUUAUUAGACUAAGAAACUAGUGCGUAGUUUGGGUUUGCCAGUUGAAAAAAUUGAUUGUUGUGAUUCAGGAUGUAUGUUGUAUUGGGGUGAUGAUGAACACCUUACAUCUUGUAAAUUCUGUGGUAACCAGAGGUAUAAGCGUCGUGUCGGCUCUCGUAAGAGGAAAUUGGUCCCUACAAGAAAAUGUAUUAGUUUUCUUUGAUUCCUAGAUUGAAAAGAUUAUAUGCAUCCCAUGCUACAACUGCCGACAUGAUUCUAUCUCGGAAAUGCAGCAACAACUUGCCUUAAGGGCAGAACUGUUUGGCCUCAAAUUUGGUCCAAAAGCAGCAAAGGCUUAGCCCAAGAUUUAGAAGCAAUUUGGCUCCCAAACUAUUGCAAAAAUCUUCCUGGAUGUGGCAUAGGUUCCCAACCAAGUGCAGCAGUUUUUUGCCCCAAACAUGCAACAACAAAUAGCCAAAACCACAGUGGCGUUCGGCCUAAAAAUGGCAACAAGUACAGUAGCAAUUUGCAUUAGUAUGCAGCAACAAAAUGGCUCAAAUUUGCUAUUUGUUGCUAGCAUGAUAGCAUGAGGUUUACCCUAUUGUUUAUACACCUGAGAUCGAUACAUAUCUCAAUGUUAAUGUGCCUCACUCAUAUUAUUGGCACUAUUAGAAAAUACACAUGUUUGAAUGUUGACAUGGCUAUGGAUCUACUUAUGUAUUUUUAUUCACUAUUAAGAGGUAGUAGAAUAUCUCUAACUUCUUCACCCCUCUCUUUCUUUGCACGACUUGGGAAAAUUCAAUCCCAAAUGUCCUUGAGAUACUAUUACAGACUACUGUCAAAGUGGAAGGACUUGCAGUCACGGUGUGGUUCCAUUUUGAGCUACUGUUGUGAUUGGUUGAUCUGUUUUGAGGGAUGUUCACAGCACUCAUAAGCUGUUGCUGAGCUUGGGAAAAUUGCUGCAUUUGAAGUUCUCUAAGUGUUGCGAAUGAGCUGCUACUUUGUUGUUAUAUUUGUUAUCAUAAACUGCUGGAUUAUUGGCCAUUUGCACCUCGUUUUGGGAGUGGUCUGCUGCUGAAUUUUUGGCCAUAUUGUCCUCGCAUUUUGCGGUUUUGCUGCUGCAUUUUUGGGGCAAAAAUUGCCCCACGAAAUGUUGAUUUGUUGCUGUAAUUCUGAGCUAAAGUUUCUGCCGAAUCUCGGGCAAAUUUGAGCCAUUUUGUUGCUGCAUACUAAUGCAAAUUGCUACUGUAGUUGUUGCCAUUUUUAGGUACGCCACCGGUUCAAGUGUCAGAUCACGGUAGUAACCCAACCAUCCCUGAAUUAUCUCCCAUUACACCUGAUCUGAGCAGCCCAAUAGAUGAGGGUACAUCAAACCAUAGCAACACUGUCAGCGAAGAAGAGUCCAGUAGUCGUCGUAGGCAGCGGACACUUACACUUGUUACUCUUACUCCUGCAGGGUCGGAACCUUCUAAAGAAUGCUCUAAUACCAUAUCCGCAUCUUUCAAAAAUCAACUUGAUCCCAAUGGAAUCAAUUGGAAAGGUGUCUCAGUAGAUACUAGAAAUUUUUAUUUUGGGGAAUUCAAGGACUACACCUCUGGAACCAAAUCAGACAGCAGUGGAUAGGACACAAGAAGCAUGUCAACCAACCACAACAGCUUCAUGAACCUAAACUAAAGUGAGAUGUCUGUCUUAGAUCCCUAUACUGCCUUACAUGAAUGGCUUGUAAUGACAUAGCAAUAGCAGGUCUUUUGCUUCUUACCGGAAACAUGAGGCAUUAUGUAGUUGUGGAAUCAUUUUUCUAUUUGAUAUAGAGGCAAAACAUAUACCUAUCGAAAAAAAAGAAGAUAUAGAGGCAUCGCAUAUAGGUGAUAGGCAUGCAUGCAACGGUUGGAAUCUGAACAAAUCUCUUGGACUAGGUGUAAGCUUUGAAUGGCGGUGAUUUAAUGGUCUUAACUACUGAAGUUUUUGAUCUUCCACAUUUGGUGUUCUAAACUGCUGGCGUGACAGCAUAUAGACUAGUUUUUAUUUUAUUAAUUUGCUGAACUUAAUCUCUUUUGUUAUGGUGUAAAUAGUCUUGUCAUAUAAGUUUCCCAUUGAGGAAAGAUUCAAAGAUUUCGCAAAAUUAUUGAUCCACAGAGUAAAUAAUGCUUCACAUUUUGCAAUAGCCCAUAUCCAGCCUUUAACUUUAUCACUUUUGAAGGCAUAGAAUAACUAUGAAUCACUGAAGUGUAAAGCAUGUUGCUAUAUGUUCUAUUUCUCUUCAAAUAAAUUAG
Long non-coding RNA from Lycium barbarum (goji berry), 2328 nucleotides. RefSeq lists it as uncharacterized. The record is from RefSeq and is a predicted model, not a curated record. NCBI's taxonomy places the organism in Eukaryota, Viridiplantae, Streptophyta, Magnoliopsida, Solanales, Solanaceae. The transcript has 3 exons.